Long non-coding RNA from Apus apus (common swift), 2218 nucleotides. RefSeq lists it as uncharacterized. The record is from RefSeq and is a predicted model, not a curated record. The transcript is spliced from 4 exons. NCBI's taxonomy places the organism in Eukaryota, Metazoa, Chordata, Aves, Apodiformes, Apodidae.
CAGAGUGGGUGGCUGCCGAAGGGGCAGAGUGCUGGGCUGCAGUCCCCCGGCAUCCCCACGCCUGAGAAGGGUGUCAUGCAGAAAGAUCUGGGAUUUGUUUAGAUGGUAAUUACGGUCGUUGCAAGGAAUUUCUUCUGGGGCUCUUUGGAGUGUGUGCUUGCCCUGUGCUGAUGCCGGCGCUCCGGCGGUGCAUAGCUCGGCCACCAGUGUUUGUGUAAACCAAACACAAGAAGCACAUGAAAAGAGAAGAAAUGAAUUUGCCAGUGACAGCAGGCUCUGACGGAUGCUUUGGAGCACAUGCCCAAACCUUAUCCCUGGUAACGUGGGCUUGGAAGGCUCAAGACCUCUGAGAGUGCUCCAGAAUCCCCCAAGAUGACGCAGGACCAAAAAUUUCAAGUGCAACAUCCCAAGGAAACAGCUGCUACUGAAGCUGCAAGGCAGGACUGGAGCUGGAGAACAGCCAGGAGCUCCCUGUGAGGAUGCUACCCAGAGAUCCCUGAGGUGCCUCUGCCAGAGGCAGCCCAGUCACUCAACUCACCAGCAGUGGAAACUGAACCUAAAGAUGUGUUGUGUGGAGGAAGUGGCACUGCAGCCUGUUUGAAGAUGAAGAGACAUGGCCAUGAAUGCCACCAGGCUCUGACAGCUGGGGUCCAAGCAAGGCAGGAUAUGAAACCAGGCAGAAAUGGCUCUCUGGGCAGUGAUACAAGGGAAAGCAAAAUGCAGGUGAGGCAGUGUUAUCGACAUAUGAAGUUAUUUGGUGCAGGAUACUGUUAAAUUAUAUGCAGAGCCCCCACCUUUUCCUCCCCACCCCAAGAACAGGAAUAGAGUAAUUAAAACAGCGUGUUCUGGGACAGCAGCAAUCCCAUGGGAGAGCUGGACAUGGUGAGAAGUACACCCACCACUGUGGCCUGACCCGGUACCCCUCCCUCCUUCCUCAGGGCUCCCCAGGUCUGCCAGAAAGUUUUCUGAGGAAGAUGAUCCCAGCAUCUGGUGCAUGUAGCAGAACAGGAUCUUGUGCUGGUCAGACUGGUUUGGUGACCCCAGCUCAAAGAGGACAGCAGUGCAGGGGGGCUGCAGUUGCGUGUCCAUCCACCAACAUCACCCUGAGGACAGGGCCUCUGUGUCACCUACAGCACAUGGUGAUGCUCCAACCUGGCAGUCUGCACACUUGCAAAGGCCCAGUGCCUCCCUGGGGUGGGAUCCCCCUGCCUGGGGAGACACCAGCCCCUUCCCUGCCUGCAUGGUGGGGCUGACAGCACCUGCUAUGGACCCUAUAGGAUGAGCUGCUUACUUGAGCACUGCCAAGAUGUGCUUGUCAGGCAGCCAGUGCUCAGGAAACGAGGAAGGAGAGUGUGAAAGGAACGAGUCACUGCACCAGGAACAUAUGGGAUGGCAAUCUGCAGGGAAGGACACAGCCCCCACGCUCCUUGAAGAGUGAGCAGAGACCCUCCAAGUUCUGGCACAGCAGUGAACUAGCACUGGAAACUGCCUUGAACAGCAUCGCUUUCCUCUGGCUCCAGGGACAGCAAGAGAGGAGAGAGAAGGCAAAGGAGCCCAAAUGGAUGAGAAGUAUUGUUCUACAUGAGCAGAAAGACAACCACAACUGGAGAGGUCUUCUAAGCCAUAUUAGUGGCCAUUUUAAACUUCUUACCAGCAGACACUUUCUUCCUAAGACAGGUUAGUUUUCAAACAAUGACAAAAGCUGUUACACCAACACAGCCCUGAACAAUGUUGUGCCUUUGUCAUCCAAUGGAGGCAGAACCUGCGUAUUCCCUGAGGACAGCACUCUGAUGCCUUCUCUUCCCCAUCCAUUGUCACAGAGUUGCUAUGAUGAGUAAACUCAAAGCCUGGAAGCUCAGUUCAAGUGAAAUGUGAAUCCAAAAGUUCAGAAAACCUUUUCCCAAAGCCUGGCCAGGAAACUAGGAUGGAUAUCUCAAAAGAACAGACUUUCCCAAGAGAUAUCCAAUAGUUCCUGGAUUUGGACUCAUGUUGUUACCUCUCUUAUCAAGCAGGACAUGCAUACUCAUGACAGAUGAGAGGGCUAGCCUUUUACACCUGCUAGAGACAUUAAUUUCAAGAGUAACAAGUGCUAGUGAUUGCAUUUUAAGAUUACAACAGGUCAUUAGUGUUUACAACAGAACACAGAAAACAUGAACUUGAAUUGCUGUGUCGUGGUCUCUCUCACACUUUGGAAGUAAAAUGGUUUGGCUGUACCCGA